Molecule: long non-coding RNA, 1644 nt
Organism: Carassius auratus (goldfish)
Lineage: Eukaryota; Metazoa; Chordata; Actinopteri; Cypriniformes; Cyprinidae
Source: Ensembl
GCAACAGGUGUGGGGGAUUUACUCAGAGUUUGCGUGAGGCCUCAUCAACAGUGGAGAGGAUAAAAAGCAGGAGAGAGAGGUGGUGCGUGUGGUUUUUCUCCCUUGUGAAAAGUCGUUUAAUUGGGUGGUAAUAGUUACUGGAGGACGGGUGAAUGAAGAGGACAGUGUUGCUUGAUGAGGGAUUCGAGAACAACAGCAGGAGAGUGAAUUACCCUGUUUGCAUUGGAGAGGAGCUGAGUAACUGAGAACUGAGUCUUGUAAUUGCACACGUUUGACACUGAAUUGGAUGUGGUUUGGAGUGUUUGGAUCACGAUCAUAAAUAUCACUGAGUGGAUUGUAUUGAUUCAUUACCGAUCUCUUACCUCUCCCUCCUCUAUAAAUGGUGAUGUGAACUCUGCCUGUGACUGUGAAGAAAAACAUCUCAGAACAUCCUCAGUGGCAGUGAGGAUUGCGCCCUCCCCCUUCCCCUCGGACAGAAACCCGAGUGUGAGUGCUGGCUUUAAAUUGCACGUCGUGAAGAGAAGAGAUGCCCUGUUGAAAUAUUUACUAUCUGCCUCAGAAAAGCUCUGUGCAACCUGUUGACUUCGAGUCUGCUGUAUCCCUGCCAUUCAACUGUAUGGUGAGAGGUGUUCGCUCCUUCCAAUACAUGUGAAUUGUAUACUUGCCUGAAACAUCCAUUCUGUCUGUCUCAGAAGAAGCCCCAUUCAGCCUGUUGACUUCGAGUCUGCUGUAUCCCUGCCAUUCAACUGUAUGGUGAGAAGUGUUCGCUCCUUCCAAUACAUGUGAACUGUAUACUUGCCUGAAACAUCCAUUCUGUCUGUCUCAGAAGAAGCCCAUUCAGCCUGUUGACUUCGAGUCUGCUGUAUCCCUGCCAUUCAACUGUAUGGUGAGAAGUGUUCGUUCCUUCCACUGCAUGUGAACUGUAUACUUGCCUGAAACAUCCAUUCUGUCUGUCUCAGAAGAAGCCCCAUUCAGCCUGUUGACUUCGAGUCUGCUGUAUCCCUGCUAUUCGUCUGUAUUGUGAGAAGUGUUCGUUCUUCCAAUGCAUGUGAACUGUAUACUUGCCUGAAACAUCCAUUCUGUCUGUCUCAGAAGAAGCCCCAUUCAGCCUGUUGACUUCGAGUCUGCUGUAUCCCUGCCAUUCAACUGUAUGGUGAGAAGUGUUCGCUCCUUCCAAUGCAUGUGAACUGCCUAUACUGCUGGAAGCAUUCUGUCUGUUCAGAAGAAGCCCCAUUCAGCCUGUUGACUUUGUCUGCUGUAUCCCUGCUACUCAUCUGUAUGAGGAAGCCCCAUUCAGCCUGUUGACUUCGAGUCUGCUGUAUCCCUGCUAUUCAUCCGUAUUGUGAGAAGUGUUCGUUCCUUCCAACGCAUGUGAACUGUAUACUUUGUCUGAAGCAUCCAUUCUGUCUGUUUCAGUAGAAACCCUGCACAGCCUGUUGACUUAGAGUUUGUUGCAUCCUUGUGGCCCACCUGUGCUGAGAGAGGUGACUGUCCUUUGUCACGAACGUGAGAUGGGCACGCUUUGUCUGGAAUAUCCACUCUGACGGUGUCAGGAGAAGCCACCUUACUGUAAGACCGUGCACCUGCCGUAUACGUACUUGACUGAUAUCAUUCGCCUCAAAUUCCGUACCUGGGGAAGAAGGA